Molecule: long non-coding RNA, 2040 nt
Organism: Gorilla gorilla gorilla (western lowland gorilla)
Lineage: Eukaryota; Metazoa; Chordata; Mammalia; Primates; Hominidae
Exons: 3
Source: RefSeq, a predicted model, not a curated record
UUUUUUUGCAGGUUUUUGCUUUAUGGCCUAAUACAUGGUCAGUUUUUGUAAAUGUUCCAUGUAUGCUUGAAAACAACAUGCAUUCUCUAGUUAUUGAAAGCAAUAUUUUACAUAUGUAUGUUAGAUUAACUUAUGAAUUGCAUUAUAUAAGUUUUGUAGCCCUGAUUUUUGUCCAAUAUUUUACAUAUGUGUGUUAGAUUAACUUGUGAAUUGUGUUAUAUAAAUUUUAUGGCCCUGAUUUUUGUCUGAUCUAUUAAGAGUUAUGUUAAAAAUUUCUUCUGUGAUAGUGAUUUCAUAUCUUUUUUAAUUGAUUUUUUUCUUGUUCGUUUUCUCCCUGCACUAGUCUGGAAGUUACAUAUUCUAUUUUUAUUCUUCUAUUGAUUACUCUAGAAAAUUUAAUAUGUGUGUAUAAUUUCACAAAGCCUAAGGUUACUGUCUUUAUUCUCUUUUUAACAACGCAAGGAUCUUUAGUAUGCUUUUUCAUUUUGGCCACAUCACUUCUGACAUAUAUGCAUUUGUUGUCCAAUAUUUUAGUCCUAUCUUAUUCUUUUUUGAACUUCACAAAUUAGGCGUUAUUGGUAUUUUAUAUAGUCUGUGUCCUUUUGAGUUACCCACAUUUGUCAUUUUCUUUGUUUGCUGUUCUAUUUUACAACUCAGACCUACCUUCUGGGGUCAUUUCCUUUCUCUUGGAAGUAUGUUUUAAUAAACUCAGUUUUUAUUUGUCCAAAAUUACCUUCAUUUUCUCCUCGUUCUUGAAAAAUAGUGUUGCUGUACAUACUGUUCUAAGUUGAUAGCUAUAGGGUCUCAGCGCUUUGAAGAUAUGCCACUGUUUUUUCAUUUCCAUUUUGCUGUUGAGAAGUCAGUUGUCAGUCUAACUUUUUCUUCUGCUAGUAAAAUGUCUUUCCUUCUGGCUGUUUUUAAAAUCCCUUUGUCUUAGAUGUCUUCGCUGUCAGUAAGACAUUUCUAGGUGAGGAUUUCUUCUGAUUUAUUCUUCUUGGGAUUUGUUGGGAUUCUUGUCUCUGAGGUUUGGUAUCUUAUCAAUUAUGGAAAUACUGUCUCUCAUCCACUCUUUCUCUUCUGUCUUUUUGGAAUUCUGAUUUAGAUGUUAGGCCUUUUUUUUUUUUUUUUGAUGGUGAUCUUAUGUUCCUUGGAACUUUACUUGCUGAUCAUUCUUUGAGGCUUAGGUUUCAAGUUAGAAUCUUCCUUUUAUACAGAUGUCUCAGGGGGCUUUACUACCCAGAACACUUAAAACUACAUUUUUUGGUGUUAGACUUUUCUUUUGGUUAUAGGUGUAGGAUGAAUUCUGACUCCAUACUUGGAUAGGAAGGUAUCAUGGUUAGACAUUCUGAGCAGAGACUUAUUCCUUUUAUUUCCCCUUUCCCGAGGCAAGGCCAAAACACAGAAGGUUUGCUUCCAGUUUCACCCACUGAGGAUGUGGCAUUUCAGAGGGCCUGGCUUGGUAUGGGAAUUUCCAGUCUAAUUCUUGCCUUGCCAGCAGACACUCGGGGGCCAGACCACUGCCAACAUGUACAGGGAGCAAGAUAACUACACUUUUAAAAAGAUCGCUCUGGUUGCCUUAUGGAGGAUGGCUUACAGACGGCUUGAAGAGUGGAGGCAGAGAGGCAAGUUAGGAUGCGAUUAUAAACCUCAGGAGAGAGGUGUUGGCCCCGGGACAGACAGAAUGGUGGUGGAUGGGGAAGAUUAUUGAUUAAGAUGAUCUGUCUCUUCCCAUAGACUGUAAGAUACCCAGCCUCAGGUUCCCAUUUGGCCGGCGCUUGACUUGUGACAUCUACUGGCAUGGAGUUUCAUUUCACGACAAUGACAUAUUCUCCGGUCAAGUGAACAAGUUUCCAGGCAUGACGGAGGUGGUGCGUAAAAUUACUCAGCAGAGCAGUGAGAACCAUGCAGAAUCUCUUUCCUGAGGAGUACAACUUCUACCCUCGCUCAUGGAUUCUGCCUGACGAGUUCCAGCUCUUUGUUGCUCAGGUAGAUGGCACUCCGUCCCCAUGACCCCUGAAUUAUAUUAUGGUUGCAACUGUG